RNAcentral lists this ribosomal RNA (118 nucleotides) under Periophthalmus magnuspinnatus. The record is from RNAcentral. Lineage: Eukaryota; Metazoa; Chordata; Actinopteri; Gobiiformes; Gobiidae.
CAAAACAGCCACACCACCUUGUGACUGGCCAAUCCUGUCUGAUCUCAGAAGCUAAGCAAGGCCAUGUCUGGUUAGUCCUUGGACUGGAGACUGCUGAAAAUAAUAUGUGCUAUAGUGG